CUGGUUUUUGUUUUGCCCUUCCAAUCUUUUGUAUGUAAAACAGUUUGAGAUUUUGAAAUUCAAACAUACAUUAUUAUUAUUGUUAGUAGUAGUAGUAGGAGGAGGAGGAGGAGGAGAAGAAGGAGGAGGAGGAAUAGUAGUAGCAGUAGUAGUAAUAGGAGCAGUAAUAGUAGGAGUAAGAGUACUAGUAGGAAGAGAAGGAGAACUAAUAGGCGUAGUAUUGGUAUUACUAGUAGUAGUAGUAGUAGAAGGAGGAGGAGGUGGUGUACAAGUAGUAGUAGUAGUGGUAGUAGAACUAGGAGGAGUAGCAGGAGGAGGUCUAUGAAUAGUAGUGGUGGUAGUAGUAGUAAUAGUAGUAGUAGAAGGAGGAGGAGAAGGUGUAUGAGUAGUAGUAGUAGUAGAAGGAGGAGGUGCAGGAGUAAGAGUAGUAGUAGUACCUGAAGGAGGAAAAGGAGGUGUAUGACUACUAGUAGUAGUAGUAGUAGUGGUAGUAGUAGUAGGAGGAGGAGGAGAGGUAUAUGAGUAUGAGUAGUAGUAGUAGUAGUAGUAAUAGUAGAAGGAGGAGGAGGAGGAGCAGGAGGAGGUGUAUGAGUAUUAGUAGUAAUGGAGGUAAAAGUAGUAUGCAGCAAACAAUCUUGACUGCACUUGGUCUAAUUCUGAAGAUGAAAUCAAAAUGAAUACUGGACAUCUUAAUUGGGAACAAUUAAACACUGAUGAUUGUUUUAGUGUGUGUUUCGCCUGCCAGUGAAGUUCAGAGCUGGAGGUUGUUUGAGUUGUUUGAGACAAGAUUCCGUCUAAUCCAUUUAAUGCAGUGUCUUAAUUAGGUUGACAGACGUUUCUACUCUGCUUGAUGUUUAUUUUCAUUUUCUAUUCAUCCUCUUGUCUGUGUUGUUGAUUGUCAUCUCCUUUCAGCAUCCCUUAGGCCACCUAUGACAGUCAGAAUGGAACGGAACGAUUGAUUUGUCUCAGAAUAAAGUGGCAGAAAAACUGCAUCCAGAACCAGCAGUUCUACAAAUGUCACAUUUGACAUAUUAGUGAUGCUGAAGAUAGAUAAAGGGAAUGCACUGCUGUAAACGGAGAAUGUACCAGUAAUACGAGGACAAGCUGUGUUUUGUCUUAGCUUAAGACAAAAAA
Long non-coding RNA from Ictalurus punctatus (channel catfish), 1134 nucleotides. The record is from Ensembl. NCBI's taxonomy places the organism in Eukaryota, Metazoa, Chordata, Actinopteri, Siluriformes, Ictaluridae.